RNAcentral lists this ribosomal RNA (338 nucleotides) under Terrabacter sp. 28. RNAcentral's name for it is "bacterial SSU rRNA". It matches the Rfam family "Bacterial small subunit ribosomal RNA", at positions 1 to 328 of the family's 1533-position model. The record is from RNAcentral. Lineage: Bacteria; Bacillati; Actinomycetota; Actinomycetes; Micrococcales; Intrasporangiaceae.
AGAGAUUGAACAUAAGAGUUUGAUCCUGGCUCAGAUUGAACGCUGGCGGCAUGCUUUACACAUGCAAGUCGGACGGCAGCACAGAGAAGCUUGCUUCUUGGGUGGCGAGUGGCGAACGGGUGAGUAACGCAUCGGAACGUACCGAGUAAUGGGGGAUAACUGUCCGAAAGGACAGCUAAUACCGCAUACGCCCUGAGGGGGAAAGCGGGGGAUCUUAGGACCUCGCGUUAUUCGAGCGGCCGAUGUCUGAUUAGCUGGUUGGCGGGGUAAAGGCCCACCAAGGCGACGAUCAGUAGCGGGUCUGAGAGGAUGAUCCGCCACACUGGGACUGAGACACG